UUAAAUACAUUAUCUCUAAUUUUCACAACCAUUCCCUAAAAUACUCUAUUUGAUAGAUGGGGAACCUGAAGUUUAGCCAGAUUGAGGAACUCACCCAAGGUCACACAUGUGGCAAUGCCAGGGCUUGAGCCCAGAAUAGCGUGACUCCAAACUUUGAACUCUUUGUCUUCUAAUACUACACUGCCUCCAAAUACAUCAAUUGACUGGAAAAAGAAGAUUUAAGUUCAUGAUUGUCAUUGUAGAUUGUUUCUACCCGUUUAUCUUAUUUAAGAUUCCACAUGGAUCAAAUUUCAUAGUAAUGAAAUUCAAGAGACGCUCUGCCAUUUUGUUAUAGGGCAGCAGUCUUGGAAUCUGUGUCAUAAUUUAUUAUGUUGGAUGUUUUUUGAAAUAAGUAGAACUUAAUUGAAAAUGGAAGAAUUUUAUCACAUAUAAUUUUUAAAUAAUUCAUUUAAUGAAUUUCUUAGAGCCUAAAAUCACUUUACUGCAUAUAAACCUCAUUUAAACACAGACCUAUAGUUAAAGCAGAGAAUAGAGUAGAAUUUAAAAGUUAUUUACAUUUAAGAAUACUUUUCUGUUGCUAUUUUUCUAACACACUGGUUCAGGACUGCCUAACUUCUCCACCCAUAGUUUUGUGAAUUCCACGAAUUUUAAUACUGUAUUUCUCAGAACAUAACUCUCUCUCUGUGUAUUUAUCUCUCGCUGCUCUGUCUCUCUGUUUCUCUGUUUCUGUCUCUCACACACACUCUCGCGCACACACACACACACAUCCUCUACAGAGAAAUCAACUCUCUAUGGAAGAUUUUGGGGGCAGAAUAGAAUGCACUUUGCCCAGGCCAACAAAACAGACAGGGGCCAAAGACUGGGCUCUAGAAUUGGUGUCACUAACUCCUUUAUGUAGAUCAAUGCUGGAAAAAUAUCCUUCAGGUAAAGAUUUUGCCUUUGUGGCUAUAGGUUGUGACCCUCACUAAACUAGUCUUCACGUACUCAGUGAGCACUAGGUGACACAACUAGAAUAUUCAACUAGAAGAAUAAAAUAUGACAUAGAAGGAACCUUGAUGAUAUCCUUGUUCAAAGUCUUUGAUAAAUAGAUGAAGACACUAAGGUCUUGUAAAGGGUUAGGAGGUAAAAUGAGACCAGAACCCAGGUCUUCUUACCACGAAGAAGACUCCUCUUCCUCAACACACCAUGCUUUCUUUCUCCUGAAUACAACAAAAACUGGAACUACAUAUUCCUGUAAAACCUGGAUUAGGAAGAACAGGGUUGUAUGAGAAUCCUUGUCCCCUGACACCAGUACCCUGUGAUUUCCCAGGAUGGGGCUCAUUUCUCUUUCCCAUCUUCCCAACCCAGUGAUUGUAAACUUUUUCCCUCUGAAAUGCUGUAAAACCUGUCAACACUCACCUGUAGGGACUUGAGAAUUCAGAACAAAUGCUUGUUGAACAGGAAAGGAAGAUGGAGGGAACAUUGCCUCUUUGCGUGUAGAAAUUUUAUGGCAUUUCUCCCAAGUGUGUCAUAGGUGUGUGGUUUAUUUUUUUAUGAAACUUUUAUGAGAGCACUUCAUUUCAGUUCUCCUGCUCCUUUUAUGGUGGGCCUGCUCCUAUUAUUUUUCUGUAGCUGAGAUUUUAUUUUUAAAUAUUAAAUUGUGAUUGGGGGGGGGAAGUUUCUUUAUUCCCAGAGCCACACUCCUGUAUACAAAACUUCUUCUGACUUAUGUGAAGGCAACUCCCACAUCAGAGCUUCAGCCCUGGGCCCAUAAUUUGCAAGCAUAUAAUGGAGCCUCAUAUUGCAAUGCAAAUUCUAGUACCCAGGGAUCUGCAGCAUAAUCACCCAGUUACAAGGAAGGUAAAGAGGAAAGGAAAUUAGCAUAAUGGGCCACAGAAUAUACACAGGAGGAUGCUCAGAGGCCUCUAUGGCAGAUUUCACCACCAUUCCAAAGAUAUGCUUGCUUUUCUCAGAAAAUGCGCUCUCUCUAGUAGAGAUGUUGUUGGCUCCAUCUUGGAGGAACUUGAUCUUCAGCUGCUUUCAUGGUAGUAAUGGGCUGGGCUGAAUUAUUCAUAUUCUCUCAUUCUGAGCUACAAAAUGACCAGCCAGAGGUUGGGAUCACUCUAGAAGCUGAACUUCAAUGGAUGAGUAGGUUGAUCUAUGUCAACAUGGAAAGUGAGAAAGAACAGCAUCCCAAGAGGAGGAAGAACUGUGAGCAAGGGUACAGAGAGGGAAUGACCUGCCCAUGGAGAAACACAGUCCCAUUGGGCUGAGGUGUGGGAUGAGGCAUUUAUGGCACACACCCAUUUGAACUGAGGUCCCCAUUACCCAGUGGGACUUAGCACCUGGGCCCCUGGACCCUGAUGAACAAGUUUAU
This 2356-nucleotide long non-coding RNA is filed under the name Sus scrofa (pig). Its description in RNAcentral is "lncRNA (ENSSSCG00050041086.1)". Lineage: Eukaryota; Metazoa; Chordata; Mammalia; Artiodactyla; Suidae. The record is from RNAcentral.